This 92-nucleotide microRNA precursor is filed under the name Strongylocentrotus purpuratus (purple sea urchin). RNAcentral describes it as "microRNA spu-mir-2008 precursor". It matches the Rfam family "mir-2008 microRNA precursor family". The record is from miRBase by way of RNAcentral. Lineage: Eukaryota; Metazoa; Echinodermata; Echinoidea; Camarodonta; Strongylocentrotidae.
UUCUCCACUUUUUACCCCGUAUUAACAAUGUGGCUGAUGAGGAAUCUUAUGAACCAUCAGCCUCGCUGUCAAUACGAGGUAAGGAGUGACAA